UGUUAUCAUUAUUUCUUGUUGAACCUCUGCCUUCCGCCGCUAACAUUGCAGACGACAGAGAGUGAAGCCCAUUCGUACCCUAGAGCCAUCUAGAUUUACGGACUCCAACUUGACGUUGGGGGAGUCCGUCAAAUAGAAAAAAUCGAAAAGACCUUGAAAUUGAAAACUUCUCUCAAAACAUUUCUAAAUUUGCUUCCUGCUGAAUUUGCUUUCUGUUUACAAUUAUUACACAAUGGAUGUCUACUCUACUUUUGUACAAAGUGUCUGAGUUCACAUUUCAGUUGGUGCAAGAUCUAUGAGAAACACCUCAAGUAUCGAGAAACCUCUGAUGAUGAAAGUUCCGACAAGGAAGAUGUUCCCCCUGAUGUUGAAUCCUCUCAGGGGGAAUCGGAUACUUCUGGAGACCUUAAUUCUGGAAACAACACCCAAAAUGAUUCUGAAAGUUCUGAAGGAGAAGGAGAGCGUAAAAGGAAGAAGGCCGAACGUAAAAAGAAAGCCAAAAAGGCCAGGUUGGAAAUUGAAGGAAACAGUACCUCGGACGAGGACAGCGAUCUGUCGAGCGCCUUUUCCGACUGCAGCCUCGACGAGAAUGACGAAGAGUAAAUGGCUAUGGGGAAGAGAAAAGGAGGAGAAAUUCAAGAGUCGAAAAAUUCAGAUUAAAGUGCCUUCAUAUGUGUGUGUUUGUGUUUAAAAAAUAUCUGUGUCUUUCUGUUACCUUCUCUCUUUUUCCAUGUAUCGUACCUUGUCAGCUUUCUUUACUUUCAAAUAAAUCACUUCAUCUCCA
This is an RNA transcript of Daphnia pulex (common water flea), 784 nucleotides long. RefSeq lists it as uncharacterized. The transcript is spliced from 4 exons. The record is from RefSeq and is a predicted model, not a curated record. NCBI's taxonomy places the organism in Eukaryota, Metazoa, Arthropoda, Branchiopoda, Diplostraca, Daphniidae.